Betta splendens (Siamese fighting fish) is the source of this 1486-nucleotide long non-coding RNA. RefSeq lists it as uncharacterized. Lineage: Eukaryota; Metazoa; Chordata; Actinopteri; Anabantiformes; Osphronemidae. The transcript has 3 exons. The record is from RefSeq and is a predicted model, not a curated record.
ACCGUCAGCUGGUGCUGUGGAAGUGUUAGAUCCAACCUAAUAAUGAGCUGUCCUCUAACGAACUCUCAGUGAUGCGGGUUCUUUCAUCUCUCUGGCUCGUUUGGACCAGUCGGUCACAAUGGACCAUUGUGAGCCACCAAAAAAGCCCUCCUCGCCUCUCAGCGGAGUCAUCAAACUCCUCUCAACCCCCGCCUGUCUGUUCGGACUUCGUCCCCCCCUCCGUCCUCACAGCAGCGAAGACAGUGUCAAAGGUCGGCUGGCCUCGCUGACCAUGACAAGCUGCCUAACGCGGCCCGGCGCUGCAGCCGGAGCGCCGGCUCGUCCCGGGACGCCACCGCUAAGACGAGUGUGAGAGCGCGGGAGGUGGGUGUUUGUUCCCUGAUGCGAUGUAAUUGCCACAGCGGCAGCAGUAACGCGUCAGUGCUCUGGAGCCCAGUGCGAUCUUCACUAUUGGCAUUUCUCAGGAAGUGCGGAAAAACAAAGCUGGAUUUAGUGUGCUUUUACAGAAGAUCGGUUGUUUAGGUGGAAGAAGAGAAGGGAAGCGGAGCCUCGGAGUCACAACUGCAGAAGAAAGGAAGAGAAGACUGGUCGUGGCUGCAGAUCUGAGCUGGCACCCGUCUCCUAACGGGACGGCGCGGUGAGCAGAGACUUGGGGAUCCUGUGCAGGUCUGAGGACAGAGCAGACCGUUGCCACAUACUUGUCACGCUCCAGGAAGAGUAGCCGCUGCCCUGCGCCGUCUGCCUGCCAUCACACGGCUUCAUCAGACAAGUAAAAGCAGCGACGUCCACCAAGUUCAACUGGACGGUUCCAGUGAGGCACUGUGAGGCGAAUAAAGAGGCUCACAGUGUCUGAAGCUCGGGUUCUAAUCAGAGGCGGACCUGAACCAGAGCAGCGCUGCCAUCACACAGUCCUCCCAUUGUGGCCCAGGCGAGGAAUGCGAUCCAGCCGGAGAUACGGAGGGACCGACAGGUUGCUAAAGGUGCACCAGGCCCGGGGGGGGGGGCGGUCUCCAAAGGGGCGACGUGGAAGCCGCCGCCUUUCAUUGAUGUACCAGGUAUCAGGUUGUUAAUCAGUGGUUCGCGCUACCGUCGUCCAUUAACAACUCUAUUAAAGGCUAACCAAUGGACGCCACUCAACUAACUUCAGUAUGGCUAACGAUAAUUCAACUAUUUGUCAGCUGGACCUUAACUUUGUCAAAACAACGACUUAACUAAUGAAAGCGUUAGAAUGUGUAACCUGUGCAAAAUCAAAAGAUUCGUUCGUUUCGGCUGAAAGGACCUUUAAAUCCGUUCUUACCUGGAUUACGGGACAUGAAUUUUAGCUGAAAUUAGCUGACGGAAGCCACCGAACCGUUAGCCAGCUACUACAACGGCUACAAAGCACCUCUUGUGUUAGCUGGUUACUUUUAAAUAAAACAAUUAGCAUUAUUAGACACAUUACUGACUGAAGACACGUUGAAAUGUCAAUUUUAGGAGCUCAAGUUGU